This 1008-nucleotide long non-coding RNA is filed under the name Mus pahari (shrew mouse). Its description in RNAcentral is "lncRNA (MGP_PahariEiJ_G0006376.1)". Lineage: Eukaryota; Metazoa; Chordata; Mammalia; Rodentia; Muridae. The record is from RNAcentral.
GGGGCCAGAAUCCUCAAGCCUUGCAGAACCUCCAUAGCAGCCAUACACAGCUGUCCUUGCGAUCGGUAGACAUGGAACUCGACACCCAAAAGUAGAGUAGUAGAAGUUCGUCUACUCACCAGGGCUUACAGGCAAUCUGAAGGUGCUACAAGCACAUUGAACACAGACCUCUCCCAGCCUCCUUUCUCUGCUUAGGUUGUGGGCAAAUGGCUCAGGUUCUUGGGUCAUGAGCAGGAACCUGCAGUGUCUAUACAUCUUUGGCCUUGGCUCAGAGGACAGUCCCGACCAAAGCCAUCUGAGGACCUCAACUCAAGGCGAGCAGCUGGACAGCUCUUCCCAGAUGGCAGGACUCAAGGCUUCCCACCUCUUGGUAUGUGAGACAGCACAGAAUGCUGGGGGGCCCUGCCCUCUUUCACCUCACCCAGGCUAUCAGUUCUCUCUGCCUCACUAGGACUCUGUGAGUCAUUCUUGAAUCUGGAAUCCAAGCCUCCUUCCCAUGUUCCUGUCCUCCUUCUGGGGGACCUAGUCUCCUGCUUGUGUCCUGUAGGGUUCUUCUCUUAGGAGACCAGAGACCUUACUAGAGAAGUCUGAGUCUGUUGCUGCCCCCUCUGCAGGCAUCUUGGACACAUCUCCACAGUUCACAUUCCUGGCCUGACUACCAUUUUCACAUCAUGGUCUUUUGCCUCACGCUGAAGCAGAGUACUGUCCUGGUUCCUGCUCUGUGUGCAGAUUCCUUGGCACUGUGGCCUGAAUAGCUUAGUCCUGGGAACCUGGCUGGAAGGACAAGGAAAUGAAGAAAGGACAGACACGUGUCUAGAGAAGCUGGGGUCAGGAGGGCCAUGCUUGCUCUGAUGGACCAGCACCAGCUACACAACACCCUGGACCACCGGUGUGUUUAUUAUGCAUAGCAGGAAGAGCGGUAGUCUCGGUAGGAGGACUUAGUAGGGGAGCUGUCUCCGCUUGUCGUUCUUGGAGAGGAGGAAGCUUGAUCAUAAAUACUCAUACUGG